CCUACGGGUGGCUGCAGUGAGGAAUAUUGGUCAAUGGACGAGAGUCUGAACCAGCCAAGUAGCGUGAAGGAUGACUGCCCUAUGGGUUGUAAACUUCUUUUAUAUGGGAAUAAAAUGUUCCACGUGUGGGAUUUUGUAUGUACCAUAUGCAUAAGGAUCGGCUAACUCCGUGCCAGCAGCCGCGGUAAUACGGAGGAUCCGAGCGUUAUCCGGAUUUAUUGGGUUUAAGGGGAGCGUAGGUGGAUUGUUAAGUCAGUUGUGAAAGUUUGCGGCUCAACCGUAAAAUUGCAGUUGAAACUGGCAGUCUUGAGUACAGUAGAGGUGGGCGGAAUUCGUGGUGUAGCGGUGAAAUGCUUAGAUAUCACGAAGAACUCCGAUUGCGAAGGCAGUUCACUGGACUGCAACUGACACUGAGGCUCGAAAGUGUGGGUAUCAAACAGGAUUAGAUACCCGUGUAGUC
Molecule: ribosomal RNA, 460 nt
Filed under: uncultured bacterium
Lineage: Bacteria
Description: partial 16S ribosomal RNA
Rfam family: Bacterial small subunit ribosomal RNA
Source: RNAcentral